This is a small nucleolar RNA of Pseudophryne corroboree (corroboree frog), 133 nucleotides long. RefSeq annotates it as small nucleolar RNA SNORA77. The transcript has a single exon. NCBI's taxonomy places the organism in Eukaryota, Metazoa, Chordata, Amphibia, Anura, Myobatrachidae. The record is from RefSeq and is a predicted model, not a curated record.
GCAGACUCACUCUGUGCUCAACUGCAGCCUCCAGUUUCUGCACUUUUUCUGUCUGCUAAAUAAAGACCAGUAUCCUUUCUACACCUUUUCUGUUCCAGAGAAAAUCUGUUUGUUUUGAUACUGGGAUAUAAAC